This 5315-nucleotide long non-coding RNA is filed under the name Lynx pardinus (Iberian lynx). Lineage: Eukaryota; Metazoa; Chordata; Mammalia; Carnivora; Felidae. The record is from RNAcentral.
GCGAGAUGAGGAAAUCCUGACGCUGGCUUUGUCUUCCUGACCCGGGAGGUGAAAAGUUUUUGUUUCCCGUUUCCAUAAAGGAUAGUUACUUAGAAGUUGCCAUUGUUACCGAAACGCCAGGUUAUAUAGUCCUCUGCUUUUAAACCUUUAGGUAAAUAUACAUGGAACUAACUGAUUUUUUUGGUCCAUUAAUGAUCUGGGACUUACGUUUUCCGCUGCAGUUGCUGUUCCUCAAGCGUAGUUGUCAGUGAUUUGCGGUUUUUAAAUUUUGUUUUGUUUUGGGUUUUUUUUUGGCGGGGUCGGGGCCGGAGGGGGGGUUUAAUCUCUUAAGAGUAUUUAUACUCAUUACUGAAAACCUAGCCAAAAGACUAAACACAAGACUAAAAAAAAGUAAAGGACGUUAGCCGGAAGAGUAUGGGAGACCCACUUAACGAGUACGUCUGAACAUUUCCCGUGUUGCAGACUCACCCACAGUUUGCUGUACGUGUUUGGCCGCAGCUGGAUUUCGUUGACUCUUGAAAGCAGAUGUCUGCCUCUUACCUCCCUGCUGUACCUUUUGUUGAGGGUGCAAUUAUAGAAAUAAUAGAACUAACCCUUGUAAAGUGGGAUUAAAAAUAUUUAGGAAUACAUUUAGUUCUAGUCAAGUGCUUAUUAAAUGCCAUUAAAUUUAUUUUCUGUUUCCCCUCUGAUAUGAAACAAAAGGGAGGUUUUACUUAGUAGUGGACCAUUGGGAAGGUAUGUUGUGGCAAUUGCUGCCAGGAAAAACGGUAUCAAAAUGUAUUCCCCAGACUAAGUUGGGGAAUAAGGUGCCACAGUAGGGAUCUACGGAAGCUUCAUGAAAUCCUUACAUACUAUUCUGGGAGAAAUAGUUUAAUUAGUAAGAGCAAACAUUGCUAUUAUGAUUAGGGUUGGAGUGACCAAUUUAUAGGAAAUGAAUUUUAAUUAGAACUAAAGUUUCUGAGGCUCACCUUUCACCCUACAUUUUUCUCACUUCAUUUUACUUUACUCCAUAUCACUAAUGAAUGAAAAGUACUAUUCUGUAACAAGGCUUAAAUACCAAAUCACAGUGGAGAGUUUUGCUAAAUUAGAUUUCAUUUAGAACCUGUAGCCAUCUGUGUUAACUUUGCAAACGCUGUCCUAAGAAAAUGCCACCGAUUGGGUGGUUUAAGCAACAGAAAUUUAUUUUCUCACAAUUCUGGAGACAAACUCUGAGAUCAGGGCACUCACCGGUUUAUUUUUAGACCUUCUGUGGCCUGUAGAUGGCCCUCCUUUCCCAGUAACUUCACAUCCUUUAACCUCUGUACCUGUCUGUAUCCCAAUCUCUUUGAAAAGGACACCAGUCAUACUGGAUUAGGGCCUGUGCUAAUGACCAAAUUUAACCUUACUUGCCACUUUAAAGAUCCUAUCUCCAAAUACUGUAAUAUUCUGAGAUAUUGGCUGUUAGGAUUUCAACAUAUGAAUUUUGGGUGACACAAUCCAGCCCAUAUGACCAUCCAUUUAUGGUAAGCUAUAAAGACACACUGAAGAUUUUUAAAUAUAUAUUUCCAUUGGGCUAAGGUGUAAAAACACCUGAGACAGAGUGAAGAGUCUCUGCUCCCAUAUUUUAGGUUCUUUUCUCCAUCUUAAAUUUUUUCCUAUCUAUUUCCCAUCUUUUUCUUCCUUUCUUUAAAAUUGAGGUAUAAUUAACAUUAGCUUCAGGUAUACAACAUAAUGAUUUGAUAUUUGUGUAUGUUGCUAAAUGAUCACCACAUUAAGUCUAAUUAACCCCUAUCCCCCAUACAUAGUGAAUUAAGUUUUUUCUUGUGCUGAAGAUUUUUAAGAUUUACUGUCUUAGGGGAGCCUGGCUGGCUCAUUUGGUGAAAUAUGGGACUCUUGAUCUCAGGGUUUUAAGUUCAAGCCCCAUGUUGGUAUAGAGAUUACUUCAAAAUAUUAAAAGAAAAAAAUAUGUAGCAACUUUAAAAUAUGUAAAAGUAUUAUUGACUGUACUCACCAUGCUGUACAUUACAUUCUCUUGACUUAUUUAUUUUAUAACUAGUAUUUUGUGUCUUUUGCCCCAUUUUAGCUACCCCUUCAACCCACUGCCUCUGGCAAGCACCAGUCCGUUUUCUGUAUCAAUUAACUUGGUGUUUUUUGUUUUUGUUUUUAUAUUCCAUAUAUAAGUGAGAUCAUAUAGUAUUUGUCUUUUUCUGACUCAUUUCACUUAACGUAAUGUCUUCAGGGUCCAUCCAUUAUGUCGCAAAUGGCAAGAUGUCAUUUGUUUUCAUGGAUGAGUAGUAUUCCAUUGUGUAUGUACAUCGACAUCUUUAUCCAUUCAUCCAUUGAUGAAUACUUAAGUUGUUUCCAUAUCUUGGCUGAAAAUAAUGCUGUAAUGAACAUGGGGGUACUUAAAUCUUUUUGAAUUAGUGUUUUUGUUUUCUUAAGAUAAAUACCCAGAAGUAGAACUGCCAGAUCAUAUGGUAAUUCAAUUUUUAGUUUUUUGACCAACCUCCAUACUGUUUUCUACAGCGGAUAGACCAAUUUACAUUCUCAUUAACAGUGCACAAGGGUUUUCUCUCAUUAACAGUGCAAAAGGGUUUUCUUUUCUCCACAUCCUUGCCAACACUUGUUAUUUCUUAUUUAUUUGAUACUAGACAUUCUGACUGGCAUGAGAUGAUACCUCAUUGUGAUUUUGAUUAGCAUUUCUCUGAUGAUUAGUGAUGUUGAGGAUCUUUUCAUGUGUCUGUUGGCCAUCUGUAUGUCUUCAUUGGAAAAAUGUCUAUUCACAUACUCUGCCCAUUUUUUAAAUUGGGUUGUUUAGUGUUUUGCUGUUGAGUUGUAUGAGUUCUUUAUGUAUUUUGGAUAUUGACCUAUUAUUAGAACAUGAUUUACAAAUAUUUUUCUCCUGUUCAGUUCAUUUUGUUGAAAAUUUCCUUUGCUGUGAAGAAGCUUUUUAGUUUGAUGUAGUUUGAGUUCAUUUUUUGUGUAUGGUGUAAGAUAGUAGUCCAGUGUCAUUCUUUUGCAUGUGGCUGUCCAGUUUUCCCAGCACCAUUUCUUGAAGAGUCUGUCCUCUCCCCAUUGUAUAUUCUUGGCUCCUUUGUUGUAAAUUAAUUGACCAUAUAGGCAUGGGUUUAUUUCUGGGCUCACUAUUCUGUACCAUUGAUCAAUGUGUCUGUUUUUAUGCCAGUAUCAAACUGUUUUAAGUAUCAUACAAUAUCAUAACUUUGUGGGGCACCUGGGUGGCUCAGUCGGUUAGGCAUCCGAUUUUUUAUUUCAGCUCAAGUCAUGAUCUCAAGUUCAUGAGAUUGAGCCCCACGUUGGGGCUUGGGAUUCUCUUUCUCUCUCUCUCUGCCCUUCCCCUGCUUGCUAUCUCUCUUUCUCUCUCUCUCAAAUAAACUCUAAAAACAUAAUUACUAUCGCUUCAUAAUAUAGUUAUCAACCAGGAAGCACGAUAACUCCAGCUUUGUUUUUCUUUCUCUCGUUUUUUUUUAAAGUUUAUUUAUUUAUUUUGAGAGUGAGUAUGGGAGGGGUAGGGGGAGAGGGAGAGAGAGAGGGAGAAUCCUAAGCAGGCUCCUCACUGUCAGCCCAGAGCCUGAUCCACAAACUGAGAUAAUGACCUGAGUUGGACACGUAAGUGACUGAGCCAUCUUGGUGCCCCUACGUUCUUCUGUCUCAAUAUUGCUUUGGCUGUUUGGGGUCUUUUGUUGUUUUGUACAAAUUUUAGUAUUGUUUGCUUUAUUUCUGUGAAAAAUGCCAUUGGAAUUUGACAGGGGUUGUUUUGAAUCUGUAGAUUGCUUUGCAUAGUAUGGACAUUUAAACAAUAUUCUUCCAGGUGAUGAGCACAGAAUAUUUGUCCACUGUUUAUAUAAUGAAAAAAUAUUAAUCUUCAAUUUCUUUCAUCAUUGUUUUAUACUUUUCAGUAUACAAGUUUUUCACCUUCCUCAUUAAAAUUUGUUUCUAAGUAUUUUUUUUAUUCCAAUUGUAAAUGGAAUUGUUUUCUUAAUUUCUCUUUCUGAUAGUUCAUUAUUAAUGAAUAGAAGUGCAUUAGAGUUCAUAUAGUGGUUUUGUAUCCUGCUACUUUACUGAAAUUUAUUCAUUCUAACAGUUUUUGGUGGAGUCACUUGGUUUUCUAUAUGUAAUAGCGUGUCAUAUGCAAAUAGUCACAGUUUUACUUUUUCCUUUCCAGUUUGGAUGCCUUUUACUUCUUUUUCUUACCUAAUUGCUUUGGCUAACACUUCCAGUACUGUGUUGAAUAAACGUGGUAAGAGCAUCCUUUCUUGUUCCUGAUCUUAGAGGAAGAGCUUUUACCUUUUUACCGUUGAAUAUGAUAUUAGCUGUGGGUCUGUCAUGUAUGACCUUUACUAUGUUGAAGUAUGUUUCUUCUAUACCUACUUCCCACUUUGUUCAGUUUGUAAUGAUAAAUGAAUGUUGAAUUUGCAUAAAUCUUCAUGUGUCAGAAUACUACUCAGCUUUGAAUGCUUUGCUUGAAUGUCACUUGUUAUGUGAAAUUUUUCAUUACUCUAACUGAAUUUGAUUUCCCUUUUUGACAUAACUAUAGUACUUGGAUUUUUCAUGUGGUAUCUUUAUUAUAUUAUAAGCUUCUUGUGAAGGGACUGCGUCACCUCUCAUUUGAAGUGCCUAUCAGAGUGACUCAUAUUAAACACUCAGUUGGAUUAUUGAAUGCUUUGAGGCAGUUAAUAUAUAUUUUAUAGGAAUUGAGAAAGUUUUGUAUUUAUCUUAAAAAGUGAUUUUUCUCCAGGAGGUAGAGUUUGAUCCCCCCCACUCUCCCCCAACACCAAGAUGAGUAUUGGCUGUACUUAGUGACUUGCUUUCAAAGGGUGGGUAAGGAAAGAAGGGGAGAGUAUAACUGUACAGUGGAGAAAUAUAGCAAACACUGCCUGGACGAAGUGAUCAAUAGUAACGUGAGCAAGAAGUCAUAUUGAUAAUGUGUACCUUGAUAAGAUGUAAUGAAAACAUUUCACCUCCUUUGUGUUAUUCUUAUCCAAAGCCCUAACCCUAGUCAAACCAUGAGAAGAAAUAUCAACAAAAUCAAGUUGAUGGACAAUCUACAAAUUAUAUAUCAGUAUUUAAUAUUGUCAUGAUCUUGAAAAACAAGAAAAGUCUGUGAAACUGUCACACCAGAGGAGAUGAUACAUGAUGACUAAAUGUGAUACCCUGUCUGGGAACCUCAAGCAGAAAAAGGACAUUAAUGUCAAACUAGUGAAAUCUGAAUAAAGUGUGAAAUUUAGUUAAUAGUAAUGUGCCAAUGUUGGUUUCUUAGUUGUGACAGAUGUAUAUAGUAUUGUAAGAUGUUAACAAUCGGAGAAAUUGGAUGGGGG